GAUGAAGAACGCAGCGAAAUGCGAUAAGUAAUGUGAAUUGCAGAAUUCAGUGAAUCAUCGAAUCUUUGAACGCACAUUGCGCCCCCUGGUAUUCCGGGGGGCAUGCCUGUUCGAGCGUCAUUUCACCACUCAAGCCUCGCUUGGUAUUGGGCAACGCGGUCCGCCGCGUGCCUCAAAUCGACCGGCUGGGUCUUCUGUCCCCUAAGCGUUGUGGAAACUAUUCGCUAAAGGGUGUUCGGGAGGCUACGCCGUAAAACAACCCCGUUUCUAAGGUUGACCUCGGAUCAGGUAGGGAUACCCGCUGAACUUAAGCAUAUCAAUAAGCGGAGGA
Molecule: unclassified non-coding RNA, 331 nt
Filed under: soil metagenome
Description: partial contains 5.8S ribosomal RNA, internal transcribed spacer 2, and large subunit ribosomal RNA
Rfam family: 5.8S ribosomal RNA (bases 1-120)
Source: RNAcentral